CAAAGGGUGAAGGGAAAGGCGAUAUAAACAAACCACAUUUCAUUCUACUGACUUCUACUUUCUCUCCACAGCAAUACUGAACAACGCCACCUCAGUGGGUCUGACAGAAGACAGAAGAAUUAAAGUUUAAUUGUGCAUUUCCAAGAACAUGUCAAUGCUAUAAAGGACUUACUAUACUUUCAGCCAGAGCUUCCAAUACUAUAUGAAAUAGGACUGGUGAAAGAAGGCAUCCUUGACCCCACAGAACUACAAACAACUAUUAGAGAAUAAUAUUAAUAUCUCUACUCGCAUAAACUAGAAAAUCUGGAAGAGAUGGAUAAAUUCAUGUACACAUAUACCCUCCCAAAACUGAACCAGGAAGAAAUCAAAUCCCUGAAUAGACCAAUAAUGAAUUCUGAAAUUGAGGCAGUGAUAAAUAGCCAACCAACUAAUUAAGAAAAACCAAGGUCAGAUGGAUUCACAGCUGCGUUCUACCAGAGGUACAAAGAAGAACUGAUACCAUUCUUACUGAAACUAUUCCAAGCAAUUGAAAAGGAGGGAUUCCUCCCUAAUUCACUCUAUAAAGCCAGCAUCAUCCUGAUACCAAAACCUGGCAGAGAUAAAACAAAAGUUCAGACCAAUAUCCUUGAUGAAUAUUGAUGCAAAAAUUCUCAACAAAAUACCUGCAAACUGAAUCCAGCAGCACAUCCAAAAGUUUAUCCACCAUGAUCAAGUUGUCUUCAUGCAACGUUGGUUCAAUAUAUGCAAAUCAAUAAAUGUGAUUCAUCACAUAAGUAGAACUAAAGAGAAAAACUACAUGGUUAUCUCGGUAAAUGCAGAAAAGACCUUCGAUAAAAAUCAACGUCCCUUCAGGUUAAAAAGUCUCAAUUAGGCAGUGCACGGUGGUUCACGCCUGUAAUCCCAACACUUUGGGAGACCAAGGCAGGAGGAUCAUCUGAAGUCGGGAGUUCGAGAUCAGCCUGACAAACAUGGAGAAACCCCAUCUUUACUAAAAAUACAAAAAAUUAUCCAGGUGUAGUGGUGCAUGCCUGUAAUCCCAGCCUCUCGGGAGGCUGAGGCAAGAGAAUCGCUUGAACACAGGAGGUGGAGGUUGUGGUGAGCCAAGAUCACGCCGUUGCACUACAGCCUGGGCAACAAAAACUCCGUCUCAAAAAAAAAAAAGAAAAAAGCCUCAAUUAACUAGGUAUUUAAAGGACAGGGACGUACUUCAAAAUAAUAAGGGACAUGUAUGACAAACGCACAGCCAAUAUUAUACUGAAUGGGCAAACGCUGGAAGCAUUCCCCUUGAAAACUGGCACAAGAGCUGUUUAAAUACAUUAUGAUUGGCUGUAUUAAAUUUGAGGAAUGACACACAGUUUUUUUUUGGUUUUUUUUUUUUUUUUUUUGAGACGGAGUCUUGCUCUUUCUCCCAUGCCGGAGUGCAGUGGCGCUAUCUCGGCUCACUGCAAGCUCCGCCUUCCGGCUUCACGCCAUUCUCCUGCCUCAGCCUCCCGAGUAGCAGGGACCACAGGCGCCCGCCACUGCGCCCGGCUAAUUUUUUGUAUUUUUAGUAGAGACGGGGUUUCACCGAUGACAUACAGUUUUUAAGAGAAUGAGAUCAAAGAUGGAAAACUUUUGAGGAUAGCGGAGUUAAAAAUCAAGUUUCAAAGCACAAAUUGUGUGUGCCUAGAAAAUAGCCACAAUUCUGUCAUUCAGAUUCUUAAUAUGAUUAUUUCCAGGGAGCGAGAAACAGCUGGUUCAGAUCAAAGGGGUAGUGGAGUACAUGCCAGAAAAUGCAUUUUACUUUUGACUUUAUUUAUGUUUGAAAUGAUUAAAUUAACUGUUUUCAUAACAAACAGGACUUACCAUUAAACAAUGGGGAAGAAAAAAAGCUUAUAGAGAUUGCUGGGGUUUUUUUUAUUAAACAUCUCUUAAAGUAAAAAAUUCAGUGGGUUUUUAUUGUUGAAUGAAAAUUUAUCUAUGUCUUAUAAAAAAUAAUGGGGAUUAUACUUCCUCCUAUGCCUCAGGGACUAAUCUUCACCAAAUCAUUUAUUUGCAGUCUGAAAUUAUAGCAUUCAUUUAUAUUACUGAGCUCCUUCUAUGUUCCAGGAAUUGUUAUGGAGCCCCUAGUGUGCUCCAGUCAUUAUUUUGUGUGCUUGAGAUAAAGCAAAAAACAAGAUUGGCAAGAGGCAAAAUUUCCUGUCCUCAUGGAACUUAUAUUUUAGGGGAGGAGUGAUUAAAAAUAUGACUGUAACAGACACUUACAGGACAUUCUACCCAACAACUACAGAUUAAAAGUAAAAGGAUGAAGAAAGAUGCACCAUGCUAACACUACUUUUAAAGCUGAAGUAUUUUUAUUAGUUUCAGACAAACUAUACUGACUUCAGAAACAAAAAACUAAUUAGAGAUAAUAAGCAGCUUUACGAAAGAUAAAGGAAUUGAUUUUCAAGAAUCCAAUACGAUUGUAGGUGUGUGUGUAACUAACAGUAUACCAUCAAAAUAUUUUAGAAAUAAAAGAAGAAGGCCGGGCGCGGCAGCUCAUUCUUGUAAUCCCAGCACUUUGGGAGGCCGAGGCGGGCAGUUCCUGAGGUCUGGAGUUCGAGACCAGCCUGACCAGCAUAGUGAAACCCCAUCUCUACUAAAAAUACAAAAAUUAUCCAGGCACAUGCCUGUAAUCCCCAGCUACUCAGGAGGCUGAGGCAAGAGAAUCACUUGAACCUGGGAGGUGGAGGUUGCAGUGAGCCAAGAUCGUGCCCCUGCACUCCAGUCUGGGCGACAGAGCCAGACUCUGCCUCAAAAUAAAUAAAUAAAGAAGAAAUAGACAAAUCAAUUAUUAUAAUCAAAGACUUCAACACCUUUCUUGAUAGAUAAAGCAGAUUUAAAAAAAAAAAAUGACCUGAACACCACUGUCAACUUGAUCUCCUGGGCCUUUGUAGGAUACUCCAUUUAACAAUAGCAUAAUACACAUUUUUCUGAAGCUCAAGCGGAUCACAUAUGAAGAUAACCACAUUCUGACCCAUAUAAUGCACUUAAACACAUUUAGAAGAAAAGAAAUCAUACAAAGUAUGCUGUCAGAACAUGAUAGCAUUAAACAGUAAAUCAAUAACAGAAGAAGAGCUAGAAAACCCUCAAGUAUUUGGAAAUUAACACACAUCUAAAUAACACAUGGGAUAAAAAAGAAGUCUCACGGAAAAUAAAGUAGAUAAAAAUAAAAAUUAACUUACCAAUAUUUGUUAGUGUAACAAAUAUAUUACACAGGGUCAAAUUUGUAGUCUUAAGUGCACACUUUAGAAAUAAAUAAAGAUUUGAAAUCAAUAAUUUAAACUUUUACCACACAAAAUCAAAGAAAAAUUUAAACUUAAAGAAUAUAGGGGAAAAUAAAUCAUAAAAAUUAACAUGGGAAUAGAAAACCAAAUGCUGCAUAUUCUCACUUAUAAGUGAGAGCUAAGCAUUAAGCGUACAUAGAUAUGAAGAUGGGUACAAUAGAACCUGGGGACUACUAGAGAGGAAGGGGAGAAAGAGGGGUGUCAGCUGAACAAUGACCUAUUGGAUUCUAUGCUCACUACCUGGACGAUGGUAUCAUCCAUACCCCAAACCUCAGUAUCACAUAGCAUACCCAUGUAACAAACCUCAUGAGUACCCCCAAAUCUAAAAUAAAAUUAAUUUUUUUAAAUUAAAGCAGAAAUGAAUGAAAUUGAAAACAGGAAAGCAAUAGAGAAAAUCAAUAAAACCAAAUGUUGGUUCCUUAAACAG
RNAcentral lists this long non-coding RNA (3732 nucleotides) under Homo sapiens (human). RNAcentral describes it as "HSALNT0128007". The record is from RNAcentral. Lineage: Eukaryota; Metazoa; Chordata; Mammalia; Primates; Hominidae.